Molecule: ribosomal RNA, 464 nt
Filed under: uncultured bacterium
Lineage: Bacteria
Description: partial 16S ribosomal RNA
Rfam family: Bacterial small subunit ribosomal RNA
Source: RNAcentral
GACGAACGCUGGCGGCGUGCUUAACACAUGCAAGUCGAACGGAAAGGCCCUUCCUGCGUUGCGUGAGUGGGGAACGGGUGUGUAACACGUGUGUGAAAUGCCCUGCUGUUUUGGAUAAACCUGGGGAACUGGGUCGAAUAACUGAGAGGACUACGCGAUACAUGUGGUGUGGGGGAGAGGUUUUGCGGGGGGGGAUGGGGCCGCGGCGUAUCAGCUUGUUGGUGGGGUGGUGGCUUACCAAGGCGACGACGGGUAGCCGGCCUGAGAGGGUGGCCGGCGACACUGGGCCGGAGAUACGGCCCAGACGCCUACGGGAGGCAGGCGUGGGGAAUAUUGCACAAUGGGCGCAAGCCUGAGGCAGCGACGCCGCGUGUGGGAUGACGGCCUUCGGGUUGUCACCCCCUUUCGGCCCAGACGAAGCGUAAGUGACGGUAGUUGCAGAAGAAGCACCGGCCAACUACGUG